RNAcentral lists this long non-coding RNA (472 nucleotides) under Zostera marina. Its description in RNAcentral is "long non-coding RNA (ZMAR_LNC003610)". The record is from RNAcentral. Lineage: Eukaryota; Viridiplantae; Streptophyta; Magnoliopsida; Alismatales; Zosteraceae.
AAAAAGCAACAACUUACAGAACGACCCAUUUUAUUAGCGAAAUUAAAGCAAAGUAUAGAUUUUCCACAUUGGUUUAUAAGCAACAAGAUAGAAAAAAAGGCCUCCUGCCAUCAGCACACCUUAGCCUUUGCGAGAGGAUCGACGGGCAAAGCAAGGGGAGUAGGGUGCAUGUUGGCCAUGCACCUCACGGCACUGACAUUGCCCAAUAGUAGUAGUAGACGAAGCCUUCUGAAGCUCUGUAAGCCUCUUUUUCACGUCGAAGAACAGGUUAUUUAAGCGUUCCAGCAGAUUGGUCAGACAGCUUAUCGCCCCAUCAUCAGUUGUCGACAUUAACACGCCUACUACAACGCUUUGUAGAUAGAUGACCUCCAUCCCGUACUCUUCCAGCAAAGCUCGAGUCAUUUCUUUCUACUCUGAUCGGAGGGAUCGAAGGAGGGAAUAAUUGUUAUAGCGUGAUUGUGGCCCAAUGGCC